This 104-nucleotide small nuclear RNA is filed under the name Chinchilla lanigera (long-tailed chinchilla). The record is from RNAcentral. Lineage: Eukaryota; Metazoa; Chordata; Mammalia; Rodentia; Chinchillidae.
GUGCUUACUUCAGCAGCACAUAUACUACAAUUGGAAUGAUACAGAGAUUAGCAUGGGCCCUGUGCAAGGAUGACACGCAAAUUUGUGAAGUGUUCCAUAUCAAA